UUUGUAUGUGAAGUGACAAUUGUUCUACCUUCUUCGAAUCGUCAUCAUUUCCAGGAAGAACUUCAAACAGUUAACGUCGUCCUUCGUGCUGUACUCUUCAUUGUACUCCACGUUGUACUCUCUCCUACACGACGCACGAGAUGGUGUAUGUCUCUGAAGGUAACAUAGUAUCUUCGAGGUCUCCAUGGCGGCUGUCAAUCAUUCCAGAGGUCCUGUAUGCACUGGUGGGUGUUAUCAUUCUUUUUUUCAAGACAUUAAUAUCGCCUAACUCAACCCAGCACGACGGUAGUGGCGGCUACCGAUCAGAUGGACGAGGCCCACCACCCCCUCCAAGGCGGCGCAUGGGCAGAUUAAAUUUUGACGGUGACAUACCUGGUCCCCCACCGAUGAGUGGAGGUGGAUGAGGUUAGGAGGCAGUCUGCUGUCUUAAAAAGACCACAGACUGCCUCAGAUGGUCCCCACUAAUCAGGAAACAGUAAUUCUACUAAACCCUCUUCCUCUCCUCCCCCUCCUCUUCACCCUACUCCCCAUUUAUCUUCCUCUUUCUCUCUCCUCUGAUUUUGUAACAUUUUAAAAAUUUCUUCUUCUUCUCCUCCUCCUCCCCCUCUACCAUGAUUUCAAAAGUAACUUUGGUCAUCUGGAGUGAUCAACAUUUUUACAUCUGUACUAAUCUAGAUGAUAUGAGUGUAACUUGUAGUUAAUCUAGCCACUACACCAGAUGCAUUGAGCUCCUGCUCUGCUUAAUCCACUACAUACUUUAAGCUCCAGCUUUUGGUUGUGUUGAACAGACCAUCUUGCCACAUGUUAUUAGCUCCAACUUUUGGUUAAUCUAGUCUACCAGAUGUUUUGAGCUCUGGAUUUUGAUGAAAUUGGCCAGUCUACCAGAUUUAAGCCUUAAGCUUCAGGUUAUGGUAAAUCUAACCUGUCCACCCUGAUAGAUGCUAUGAGCUUUUGGUUGAUCUAGUUCACCAGAUGCUUAGGAGAUUGUCUUUGGUGAAAUUGGCCAGAUGCUGUGGGCUCCAAUUUUUAGUUAAUCUUGUUCACCAGGUACUUUGAGCUCUAGCUUCUGGUUGCUCUGGCUAGUCCAUCCUGCCAAGUGCUCCAGCAUUUAGUUAAUCUGGGUCACCAGAUGCAAUGAGAAUCUGUUUUGGUUAAUCUAGCCAGUCCACCAGUUGCUUUGAGCUUCAGCUUCUGAUUAAUCUAGAAUUCUCCUGAGUAUUAAGCAGCUACAACAGAUGUUACUCAGAGUUUAACACCAUCAAACAUGUUAGAACGGAGGAGGACACGUGUCACCACACGUUCUUGUAUAUUCUUCCUGGCUUGAUUCCAGCAGCAUCUGGAGGGGGUCAAGCCACGGUCCCCCAUCACCUCCCCACUCCCAUACCACUCCCUACCCUUCUCCCUGUUUCCUCAUUAGUCGAGGACCAUCUGGAUACAUAUGUACAAACCCAAAGGAAUCCUUCUUUUACCAGAAGCCUUGCAGCUGUGCCUGUAAAUGUAUGAAGAACUUGCUAGAAGCUCCGUGGAGUUAGCAAGAUCCGAAAAAAAUAUUUCUUGAAAGAAGAAUUCCAACUACCCAAUCAACUGACUUUAUAUAUACUUGAGAUAUAUAUAUAUAUGUAUAUAUGUAUGUAUAUAUAUACAUACA
Molecule: unclassified non-coding RNA, 1648 nt
Filed under: Octopus sinensis (East Asian common octopus)
Lineage: Eukaryota; Metazoa; Mollusca; Cephalopoda; Octopoda; Octopodidae
Description: selenoprotein K, transcript variant X5
Source: RNAcentral